Molecule: non-coding RNA, 87 nt
Organism: Paramuricea clavata
Lineage: Eukaryota; Metazoa; Cnidaria; Anthozoa; Malacalcyonacea; Plexauridae
Source: the annotation of a GenBank genome assembly
AUGAUUCAAUGAUUCAAUCCAUGAUUCAAUGAUUCAAUCUAUCAUUGAAUCAUAAGAUUGAAUCAUUGUAUCAUGGAUUGAAUCAUU